CAUAGCAUGCUGAAUUCUGGUGAACCUGAAGAUUUUAGAGAGAGGAAGAAAAGCCUUACAAAACCUCCAAAAUUUUCACCAAAUUAUUCUCCCAUCUUUUACCACCCAAAUCUUGAAGUGGGGAAAUGGCCUUACCAAUCAUAUCUGAUGUGAACAGUUAAAAUUCAAGAUUGGGAGCUCUAUGAUUAUUGAUGUAUGCUAGAAAUUAUAAUAAUAACUUCUAAAGAUCCAAAAUGAAUGCAUGGCUCUUAACACAAG
Molecule: unclassified non-coding RNA, 258 nt
Filed under: Hevea brasiliensis (rubber tree)
Lineage: Eukaryota; Viridiplantae; Streptophyta; Magnoliopsida; Malpighiales; Euphorbiaceae
Source: RNAcentral